AUAGUGCAGACGAGGGGCAGCAUAAAUUACUUGUAAUUUGAUGGCGACCGGCGACGGGUGCGUAACGCGUAUGCAACUUACCUUUUACUAGAGAAUAGCCAAGAGAAAUUUUGAUUAAUGCUCUAUGUUCUUAUUUACUCGCAUGAGUAAAUAAGCAAAGCUCCGGCGGUAAAAGAUGGGCAUGCGUCCUAUUAGCUUGUAGGUGAGGUAAUGGCUCACCUAAGCUCCGAUAGGUAGGGGUCCUGAGAGGGAGAUCCCCCACACUGGUACUGAGACACGGACCAGACUUCUACGGAAGGCAGCAGUAAGGAAUAUUGGACAAUGGAGGCAACUCUGAUCCAGCCAUGCCGCGUGAAGGAAGACGGCCUUAUGGGUUGUAAACUUCUUUUAUACAGGAAGAAACCUUUCCACGUGUGGAAAGCUGACGGUACUGUAAGAAUAAGGAUCGGCUAACUCCGUGCCAGCAGCCGCGGUAAUACGGAGGAUCCAAGCGUUAUCCGGAAUUAUUGGGUUCAAAGGGUCCGCAGGCUGUUUGUUAAGUCACAGGUGAAAUCCUACCGCUCAACGGUAGAACUGCCUUUGAUACUGGCAAACUUGAGUUAUUGUGAAGUAGUUAGAAUGUGUAGUGUAGCGGUGAAAUGCAUAGAUCUUACACAGAAUACCGAUUGCGAAAGCAGAUUACUAACACUAUACUGACGCUGGAGGACGAAAGAGUGGGUAGCGAACAGGAAUACAUGCCCGGAUAGUCACGCGGGAACGAUGUCCAUAACUGUCCGAGUUCUUGGUCGCUGA
This 792-nucleotide ribosomal RNA is filed under the name uncultured Bacteroidota bacterium. RNAcentral describes it as "bacterial SSU rRNA". It matches the Rfam family "Bacterial small subunit ribosomal RNA", at positions 52 to 849 of the family's 1533-position model. Lineage: Bacteria; Pseudomonadati; Bacteroidota. The record is from RNAcentral.